GGGCGGGGCGGGGGCACGGGGGGCCUACGGGAGGCAGCAGUGAGGAAUAUUGGUCAAUGGACGCAAGUCUGAACCAGCCACGUCGCGUGAAGGAAGACGGCCCUACGGGUUGUAAACUUCUUUUGUAAGGGAAUAAAGUGAGUCACGUGUGACUUUUUGCAUGUACCUUACG
This 172-nucleotide ribosomal RNA is filed under the name uncultured bacterium. RNAcentral's name for it is "partial 16S ribosomal RNA". It matches the Rfam family "Bacterial small subunit ribosomal RNA", at positions 297 to 484 of the family's 1533-position model. The record is from RNAcentral.